UGCAAGCCGCCGCGGUAAUACGUAGGGUGCAAGCGUUGUCCGGAAUUAUUGGGCGUAAAGAGCUCGUAGGCGGUUUGUCGCGUCUGCUGUGAAAUCCCGAGGCUCAACCUCGGGCUUGCAGUGGGUACGGGCAGACUAGAGUGCGGUAGGGGAGAUUGGAAUUCCUGGUGUAGCGGUGGAAUGCGCAGAUAUCAGGAGGAACACCGAUGGCGAAGGCAGAUCUCUGGGCCGUAACUGACGCUGAGGAGCGAAAGCAUGGGGAGCGAACAGGAUUAGAUACCCUGGUAGUCCAUGCCGUAAACGUUGGGCGCUAGAUGUAGGGACCUUUCCACGGUUUCUGUGUCGUAGCUAACGCAUUAAGCGCCCCGCCUGGGGAGUACGGCCGCAAGGCUAAAACUCAAAGGAAUUGACGGGGGCCCGCACAAGCGGCGGAGCAUGCGGAUUAAUUCGAUGCAACGCGAAGAACCUUACCAAGGCUUGACAUACACCGGAAACGGCCAGAGAUGGUCGCCCCCUUGUGGUCGGUGUACAGGUGGUGCAUGGUUGUCGUCAGCUCGUGUCGUGAGAUGUUGGGUUAAGUCCCGCAACGAGCGCAACCCUCGUUCUAUGUUGCCAGCGGGUUAUGCCGGGGACUCAUAGGAGACUGCCGGGGUCAACUCGGAGGAAGGUGGGGAUGACGUCAAAUCAUCAUGCCCCUUAUGCCUUGGGCUUCACGCAUGCUACAAUGGCCGGUACAAAGGGCUGCGAUACCGUAAGGUGGAGCGAAUCCCAAAAAGCCGGUCUCAGUUCGGAUUGAGGUCUGCAACUCGACCUCAUGAAGUCGGAGUCGCUAGUAAUCGCAGAUCAGCAACGCUGCGGUGAAUACGUUCCCGGGCCUUGCAC
RNAcentral lists this ribosomal RNA (882 nucleotides) under uncultured bacterium. RNAcentral describes it as "bacterial SSU rRNA". It matches the Rfam family "Bacterial small subunit ribosomal RNA", at positions 506 to 1386 of the family's 1533-position model. The record is from RNAcentral.